Long non-coding RNA from Mustela lutreola (European mink), 368 nucleotides. RefSeq lists it as uncharacterized. NCBI's taxonomy places the organism in Eukaryota, Metazoa, Chordata, Mammalia, Carnivora, Mustelidae. The transcript has 2 exons. The record is from RefSeq and is a predicted model, not a curated record.
CUCCCGCACCCCCCCACACACCCUGGAGGAUUUCUUAAUGGGGUGAAAAUGCCAGUCCCCGAAGCCAGGGUUCCCGGACCCCUAGGGCCGAGCUGGGCACAGGAGCCCCGCAGGGGCGGAGAGGCCGGCCGAGCUUGAAGAAGUGGAGGAGAGAUCAGCACAAGUGGGGCAUACCCGUCCCGUCUUCCUGCUCACCCUCCUUUGCCCCCAACUCCAUCUCUGCGACACCCUGCCCCCCCAAAAGAAGUCACUCCAGGGCUCUGUCUGCAGAGAGCCAGGGUGAGAGCGGGCAAGGCGAGAGAGAGCGACCUCGGUCGUGGGCAAGUAGCUUGUUUUUACGUCCUUCAAUAAAAUUUUUAUGAGGAUCA